ACCAACCCCCUCACCUCUCUCACUCUCUCCCCAAGAACAAAGCACGGCCGCCGCUGGGCAUCUCCGGCGACACGGCGGAAACCUACAGAUUCCCCUCGACUCCCUCUACCCUUUCCCCCUAUUUAUUUGACCCGCCGCCGCCAAAAUCAUCGCCACCAUCAAAUCCUUGCGCCGCGUGAUUCGGGUCCGGUGGGCUCGCCACCGGUCGCCUCGGCGAUGGCGUCUCCCUGCCUACAUCCUACCCCAGCGCAGCUACACGCACUAGGUGUGCAGCCACGGCCGUCGGGCAGUGCGGCUUUACCGGCGCGGCUCCGGCGUGGCCGCUGCUACCGGUGUGGACCGGCCACACCCUGCUGCUACUACCGCAGGGUACUAGUGUCCAGGUGAUUCGUUGCAUAUCCUAAUGUAAGCAGGUGAAGGUACAUUAAGCAUCAAGCAAACAGAGCUGCAAAAAUAAGUUACUUGAAUACUACCUAAUGGCAACUCAGCAUGCAACGAAAGAAGAACAAUGGAGAUGUGAAAAGUUGAUGGGAGAAAGGUGGGCUGCUCCAGGGAAUGAUGUGCGUGUGUGUGUGUGGUGUGAAAUGCAGAGUGAAGGGAUGGCCUCCUAUCUAUAGCUGGGUACAUAGCUAGGUCGGUUUGGGAGGAGGAGGAGGUGGCCGGCAUGCAUGGCUCUAUGCGCAUGCAAGUCUCCACUUGUAUUCUUGCAAGCUGUAUUAUGGACAAGUGUACAAUGAUUGGUUGUUUAUUAGUUGGCAUUUUCUUCA
Molecule: long non-coding RNA, 767 nt
Organism: Triticum aestivum (bread wheat)
Lineage: Eukaryota; Viridiplantae; Streptophyta; Magnoliopsida; Poales; Poaceae
Exons: 2
Source: RefSeq, a predicted model, not a curated record